Molecule: transfer RNA, 144 nt
Filed under: Colletotrichum navitas
Lineage: Eukaryota; Fungi; Ascomycota; Sordariomycetes; Glomerellales; Glomerellaceae
Description: tRNA-Glu
Source: RNAcentral
GGUUGUGUAGUGUAGUGGUUAUCACUGUAGGUUCUCGCAGAAGCGCUCCAGCAUUCAUCAGAUACUGACUCCCAUCGAGCCGGAUUUUGAUCCCUUGCCAUCAAAUGCCUUCCGGCAACCCCGGUUCGAGCCCGGGCACGACCU